Lepisosteus oculatus (spotted gar) is the source of this 81-nucleotide microRNA precursor. It matches the Rfam family "mir-219 microRNA precursor family". Rfam says of the family: The hairpin precursors (represented here) are predicted based on base pairing and cross-species conservation -- their extents are not known. In this case the mature sequence is excised from the 5' arm of the hairpin. NCBI's taxonomy places the organism in Eukaryota, Metazoa, Chordata, Actinopteri, Semionotiformes, Lepisosteidae. The record is from Rfam.
CUAGAAACUGAUUGUCCAAACGCAAUUCUUGUGCAAUUUUGAAGUAAAACCCAAGAAUUGUGGCUGGACAUCUGUUGCUGG